GAGUUUGUGAUUUAGAAAUUGGGAUAACAAGAAUAUUUGUGGAUAGAUGAGUAUUUUUCAGAAUUUUUCAUGAAUAAGUUGUAUUUUUAAAUAAUUUUUUAAAAAACUGCUAUUUGCGGAAUGUUUUCAUUUUUUAGAGAACUUUUAUAGAUUUGGAUUUGUGAUUUAGAAAUUAGGAUAACAAAUAUAUUUUUGGAUAGAUGAGUAUUCUUUCAGAGUUUUUCGUGAAUAAGUUGUAUUUUUAAAUAAUUAUUUUAAAAACUGCUAUUUUUGGAAAGUUUUCAUUUUCUAGAGAACUUUUAUAGAUUUGAGUUUGUGAUUUAGAAAUUAGGAUAACAAGAAUAUUUGUGGAUAGAUGAGUAUUCUUUUAGAGUUUUUCAUGAAUAAGUUAUAUUUUAAAAUAAUUUUCUUAAAAACUUCUAUUUUGGAAAGUUUUCAUUUUUCACAGAACUUUUAUAGAUUUGAGUUUCUGAUUUAGAAAUUAGGAUAACAAUAAUAUUUGGGGAUAGAUGAGUAUUCUUUCAGAGUUUUUCAUCAAUAUAUUAUAUUUUUAAAUA
RNAcentral lists this long non-coding RNA (557 nucleotides) under Brassica napus (rape). RNAcentral's name for it is "long non-coding RNA (BNAP_LNC025013)". The record is from RNAcentral. Lineage: Eukaryota; Viridiplantae; Streptophyta; Magnoliopsida; Brassicales; Brassicaceae.